GUAGGUGGCAAGCGUUAUCCGGAGUUAUUGGGCGUAAAGCGCGCGCAGGUGGUUUCUUAAGUCUGAUGUGAAAGCCCACGGCUCAACCGUGGAGGGUCAUUGGAAACUGGGAGACUUGAGUGCAGAAGAGGAAAGUGGAAUUCCAUGUGUAGCGGUGAAAUGCGUAGAGAUAUGGAGGAACACCAGAGGCGAAGGCGACUUUCUGGUCUGUAACUGACACUGAGGCGCGAAAGCGUGGGGAGCAAACAGGAUUAGAUACCCUGGUAGUCCACGCCGUAAACGAUGAGUGCUAAGUGUUAGAGGGUUUCCGCCCUUUAGUGCUGAAGUUAACGCAUUAAGCACUCCGCCUGGGGAGUACGGCCGCAAGGCUG
RNAcentral lists this ribosomal RNA (371 nucleotides) under uncultured bacterium. Its description in RNAcentral is "bacterial SSU rRNA". It matches the Rfam family "Bacterial small subunit ribosomal RNA", at positions 527 to 896 of the family's 1533-position model. The record is from RNAcentral.